CAGCAGCCGCGGGAACACGGAGGGGGCUAGCGUUGUUCGGAAUUACUGGGCGUAAAGCGCACGUAGGCGGCUUGGUAAGUUAGAGGUGAAAGCCCGGAGCUCAACUCCGGAAUUGCCUUUAAGACUGCCGAGCUAGUAGGUGAGAGAGGUAAGUGGAAUUCCGAGUGUAGAGGUGAAAUUCGCAGAUAUUCGGAAGAACACCAGUGGCGAAGGCGGCUUACUGGCUCAUUCUAGACGCUGAGGUGCGAAAGCGUGGGGAGCAAACAGGAUUAGAUACCCCCGUAGUCCCUGUCUCUUAUAC
Molecule: ribosomal RNA, 301 nt
Filed under: uncultured bacterium
Lineage: Bacteria
Description: partial 16S ribosomal RNA
Rfam family: Bacterial small subunit ribosomal RNA
Source: RNAcentral